Molecule: non-coding RNA, 72 nt
Organism: Trichonephila inaurata madagascariensis
Lineage: Eukaryota; Metazoa; Arthropoda; Arachnida; Araneae; Nephilidae
Source: the annotation of a GenBank genome assembly
AUCCCUGUAGCGCAAUGGAUUGCGCGUUGGACUUCUAAUCUAAAGUUGUGGGUUUGAAUCCCAAGAGGGAAG